RNAcentral lists this ribosomal RNA (987 nucleotides) under Rosellinia necatrix. RNAcentral describes it as "partial large subunit ribosomal RNA". It matches the Rfam family "Eukaryotic large subunit ribosomal RNA", at positions 45 to 1063 of the family's 3401-position model. Lineage: Eukaryota; Fungi; Ascomycota; Sordariomycetes; Xylariales; Xylariaceae. The record is from RNAcentral.
GCAUGGCGGAGUAAGACCAACAGGGAUUGCCUCAGUAACGGCGAGUGAAGCGGCAACAGCUCAAAUUUGAAAUCUGGCCCUCGGGUCCGAGUUGUAAUUUGUAGAGGAUGCUUUUGGCGCGGUGCCUUCCGAGUUCCCUGGAACGGGACGCCUUAGAGGGUGAGAGCCCCGUACGGUUGGACACCAAGCCUCUGUAAAGCUCCUUCGACGAGUCGAGUAGUUUGGGAAUGCUGCUCUAAAUGGGAGGUAAAUUUCUUCUAAAGCUAAAUAUUGGCCAGAGACCGAUAGCGCACAAGUAGAGUGAUCGAAAGAUGAAAAGCACUUUGAAAAGAGGGUUAAAUAGCACGUGAAAUUGUUGAAAGGGAAGCGUUUGCGACCAGACCUUUUCCUGGCGGAUCAUCCGGUGUUCUCACCGGUGCACUUCGCCAGGUCGAGGCCAGCAUCGGUUUCCGCGGGGGGAUAAAAGCUCUGGGAACGUAGCUCCUCCGGGAGUGUUAUAGCCCUCUGCACAAUACCCCCGCGGGGACCGAGGACCGCGCUCUAAGCAAGGAUGCUGGCGUAAUGGUUGUCAACGACCCGUCUUGAAACACGGACCAAGGAGUCGAACAUUUGUGCGAGUGUUUGGGUGUCAAACCCUCACGCGUAAUGAAGGUGAACGUAGGUGAGAGCCCUUACGGGUGCAUCAUCGACCGAUCCUGAUGUCUUCGGAUGGAUUUGAGUAAGAGCAUAACUGUUCGGACCCGAAAGAUGGUGAACUAUGCGUGGAUAGGGUGAAGCCAGAGGAAACUCUGGUGGAGGCUCGCAGCGGUUCUGACGUGCAAAUCGAUCGUCAAAUCUGCGCAUGGGGGCGAAAGACUUAUCGAACCAUCUAGUAGCUGGUUACCGCCGAAGUUUCCCUCAGAUAGCAGUGUUGUUCUUCAGUUUUAUGAGGUAAAGCGAAUGAUUAGGGACUCGGGGGCGCUUUUUUGCCUUCAUCCAUUCUCAAAC